UACGGAGGGUGCAAGCGUUAAUCGGAAUUACUGGGCGUAAAGCGCACGCAGGUGGCUGAGUCAGUCGGUUGUGAAAGCCCUGGGCUUAACCUGGGAAUUGCAGUCGAUACUACUCAGCUAGAGUAUGGGAGAGGGCAGUGGAAUUCCCGGUGUAGCGGUGAAAUGCGUAGAUAUCGGGAGGAACAUCAGUGGCGAAGGCGGCUGCCUGGCCCAAUACUGACACUCAGGUGCGACAGCGUGGGGAGCAAACAGG
Molecule: ribosomal RNA, 253 nt
Filed under: uncultured bacterium
Lineage: Bacteria
Description: partial 16S ribosomal RNA
Rfam family: Bacterial small subunit ribosomal RNA
Source: RNAcentral